Molecule: RNA transcript, 1234 nt
Organism: Drosophila teissieri
Lineage: Eukaryota; Metazoa; Arthropoda; Insecta; Diptera; Drosophilidae
Gene: AANATL7
Gene name: arylalkylamine N-acetyltransferase 1
Exons: 3
Source: RefSeq, a predicted model, not a curated record
CGAUUGUCCGGCACUUGAUAAACUUUUCAAAUCAGAUUUGUUCCCCAAUUUGUAUGAGAUUUCUUAACCCACUCAAAAUUCCAAGUGUGCACCACCACUAGCAUGGAUUUCAGGAGAUGGACUCAACCCCUACUACAAACUGCGCUUCCACAGAUCCUGAAACACGCCGGAUUUGAACGGAGUGCCACGGGGAUUCCCCGUUUCAAGAACUUCAUUACCAUCCGCAGAUACAGCGAUUCCGGCAUGGAGUACAAAAUGAUUGGACCGGAGCACUGCGACCAGGUGCUGGAGCACCUGCGUCGCAACUUCUUCGCCGACGAGCCGCUGAACAAGGCGGCCGGCUUGUGCCAGAACGGCAGCAGUUGUCCCGCUCUGGAGGCGCACUGUGCCGAGGCCAUACUGGACCGGAUGAGCGUGAUGGCUGUGGAUGCGCGGGAGCAGGAGCAGGGAGUGUGCAAAAUAGUCGGCGUGGUCCUGAAUGGCAUCCUGAAGCCGGGCGACACGGCCAAAGCGCUGAGCAAGCUGGACACCAAUGGCGAUGCGGACUUUCGCAAGAUCUUCGACUUGCUGCACAGGCACAAUCUCAAGUACAAUCUCUUCGAGCACUUCGACGUGGCGUGCAUGUUCGAUGUGCGCAUCCUGUCGGUGGACUCCGGCUACCGGGGCCAGGGCAUAGCCAACGAGCUGGUCAAGCGAUCGGUGGCGGUGGCCCGGAAGAAUGGCUUCCGCCUGCUGAAAGCCGAUGCCACCGGCAUCUUUUCGCAGAAGAUAUUCCGCUCCCAUGGAUUCGAGGUCUUCUCGGAGCAGCCGUACAGCAAGUACACGGAUGGCGAUGGCCGGGUGAUCCUGCCCGUUGAGGCGCCCCACAUCAAGAUGCAGCAGCUGUACAAGGCGAUCUGCGGCGCCGCCGACCAGGACGAGAAGGAACAGUCACGUUAAGGCGACGCCCGACUGGCUGAGAUUUUUGGAACAAUAAUCUUAUUUAUUUUCUACAUACAUGCAUCUUAUUGCAACUUAUUGGAAUGUUUUCGUACUACAAAUAUGGAAAUUAGUUUUGGGAGCGCCAAAUGGAAAUUUUUGGAGCGCCAAGUCAUUGGAACGCCUCUAUGAUGCGGACGCCGCCUGGCAAGUUUACAUAGACGUGUGUAAUUGUUAUUCAUUCGUUUUUUGUAUGGGGACCAACUGCUAACUGCUAACAAUACCUAAAUAAAGUACACUGUUGUGCCAAAGUUAA